Molecule: ribosomal RNA, 253 nt
Filed under: uncultured bacterium
Lineage: Bacteria
Description: partial 16S ribosomal RNA
Rfam family: Bacterial small subunit ribosomal RNA
Source: RNAcentral
UACGUAGGGUGCGAGCGUUAAUCGGAAUUACUGGGCGUAAAGCGUGCGCAGGCGGUUCGUUAUGUCCGAUGUGAAAGCCCCGAGCUCAACUUGGGAAUGGCAUUGGAAACUGGCGGGCUGGAGUGUGGCAGUGGGGGGUGGAAUUCCACGUGUAGCAGUGAAAUGCGUGGAGAUGUGGAGGAACACCGAUGGCGAAGGCAGCCCCCUGGGCCAACACUGACGCUCAGGCACGAAAGCGUGGGGAGCAAACAGG